This 497-nucleotide ribosomal RNA is filed under the name uncultured bacterium. Its description in RNAcentral is "partial 16S ribosomal RNA". It matches the Rfam family "Bacterial small subunit ribosomal RNA", at positions 28 to 507 of the family's 1533-position model. The record is from RNAcentral.
GAUGAACGCUGGCGGCGUGCCUAAUACAUGCAAGUCGAGCGAACAGACGAGGAGCUUGCUCCUCUGACGUUAGCGGCGGACGGGUGAGUAACACGUGGAUAACCUACCUAUAAGACUGGGAUAACUUCGGGAAACCGGAGCUAAUACCGGAGAAUAUAUUGAACCGCAUGGUUCAAUAGUAAAAGACGGUUUUGCUGGCACUUAUAGAUGGAUCCGCGCCGCAUUAGCUAGUUGGUAAGGUAACGGCUUACCAAGGCAACGAUGCGUCGCCGACCUGAGAGGGUGAGCGGCCGCACUGGGAGUGUGACAGGGUCCAGAGUCCCAGGGGAGGGAGCCGGAGGGAAUCGUCAGCAAGGGGCGAAAGACUGACGGAGAAACGCCGAGGGAGUGAUGAAGGUCGUCGGAUCGUAAAACUCUGUUAUUAGGGAAGAACAAAUGUGUAAGUAAGUAUGCGCGUCUGGACGGGUAAUAAGCAGAAAGCCACGGCUAAAUAAGUG